GUUGCAGUUAAAAAGCUCGUAGUUGGAUUUCGGUUGAGAGCGGCCGGUCCGCCGUUUGGUGUGCACUGGCUGGUUUCAACUUCCUGCGGAGGACGCGCUCUGGGCUUAACGGUCUGGACGUGGAGUCCGCGUGGUUACUUUGAAAAAAUUAGAGUGUUCAAAGCGGGCUUACGCUUGAAUAUUUCAGCAUGGAAUAACACUAUAGGACUCCUGUCCUAUUUCGUUGGUCUCGGGACGGGAGUAAUGAUUAAGAGGAACAGUUGGGGGCAUUCGUAUUUCAUUGUCAGAGGUGAAAUUCUUGGAUUUAUGAAAGACGAACUUCUGCGAAAGCAUUUGCCAAGGAUGUUUUCAUUAAUCAAGAACGAAAGUUGGGGGCUCGAAGAUGAUUAGAUACCAUCCUAGUCUCAACCAUAAACGAUGCCGACUAGGGAUUGGCGGAUGUUAAUUGAUGACUCCGCCAGCACCUCAUGAGAAAUCAAAGUUUUUGGGUUCCGGGGGGAGUAUGGUCGCAAGGCUGAAACUUAAAGGAAUUGACGGAAGGGCACCACCAGGCGUGGAGCCUGCGGCUUAAUUUGACUCAACACGGGGAAACUUACCAGGUCCAGACAUAGUAAGGAUUGACAGAU
Molecule: ribosomal RNA, 626 nt
Filed under: uncultured marine eukaryote
Lineage: Eukaryota
Description: SSU rRNA
Rfam family: Eukaryotic small subunit ribosomal RNA
Source: RNAcentral